CCAUUAGUGUAUAUCUAAAUUGUUGUGGUUAAAAAGCUCGUAGUUGAAAGUAAAAAAACGAAAGGGAGCAGACAAAGUAAAAGGGAAGCAAUUUCUUUUUAAGUUUUGUCUGUUUCGUAAUAAAAUGAACUGGAGUGGAAAAUAAAGUUAAAUUUAUAUGAAACUCCUUGUUUACCAUAAAUAAAAUAGAGUGUUUAAAGCAGUACAAAAAUAGUUAAAUAUUUUGAAUUUGUACGUUGAAUAAUUCAGUAUGGGACAAUAAAACAUGAAAACUGGUGAUAAAGUGAAGGGAGAAAGGGGAGUAAUUUCUUUUCUUCUUUUUUAAAAAGAGUAUGAAUAAUGCUUUUUCACUUUAUUUAUAAUACUGGUUUUAAUGAUUAAUAGGGACAAUUGAGGCAAUCAGGAUUUCUUCACGAGCGGUGAAAUGCGUAGACUGAGGAAAGACUAACUAAUGCGAAAGCAUUUUGCAAAGGUGUUUUCAUUAA
RNAcentral lists this ribosomal RNA (485 nucleotides) under uncultured eukaryote. RNAcentral's name for it is "partial 18S ribosomal RNA". It matches the Rfam family "Eukaryotic small subunit ribosomal RNA", at positions 591 to 976 of the family's 1831-position model. The record is from RNAcentral.